This 3246-nucleotide unclassified non-coding RNA is filed under the name Hevea brasiliensis (rubber tree). The record is from RNAcentral. Lineage: Eukaryota; Viridiplantae; Streptophyta; Magnoliopsida; Malpighiales; Euphorbiaceae.
GCCAAAUCACCACAUCUUUUAUUUCGAGUCACAGGGAAAUACAUUCAAACAUCACAUGUUCUGUGUCUCAAUUCAAAGAGGCCAAAGAAUCCAAAGACGAGUGCACUUCUGAUGCUUUUGAUAAUACUAUGCGCACAGGAAUUCAAGUAUGAUCAAUCAGAACUCAACGGAAAGCUACAAAUUUGGAAGCUGAAAUUUCAAAACAACCACAUGCAACACAAACAUUAAUAAAUUCCAUUUAUGUAAUCUUGCCAGCUUCCCAUACAAGAAUAAGUUAGAUUGCAAAUUUCAUGUUGUAAAUCAAUCUACUUGCAUGCUUUCAGGAAAAGGUAUUGAAGCACAACAAUGAUAAUAUCCAUUCUCAUCAUACACAAAACGUUGUGAAAGAUGAGCUUCACGUAUGAGAUACUCCCCCCAUUCCUCAGAUCCAAACUUCUUGAAAAUACCUCGAGCAUCAAAGUAAUCGUUUUUUCUUUUCUUCCCUCUCCUAUGGCUUGUGUUCAUCACUGUGGCAUGCAACUUUAACUUAUGUUUAGCGUCUUUCUCUAGGACAAGUCCAGCCUCAACAAAUGCAUCAAUAAUGACCUGACAGGCACGUAAAAGGCGGUCCUCAUUUCCAACUUCUUCUACAGUUGCAUAGAGAACACGGGCUUUUGCCAUAGAACCUCUCAAGCAAUCCUACACAGGGAUAACAGCAUAAGAGUUCAGGUCCUCAAUAAGACAAAAUUUAAAAACUAUACUGUCACCAUGAAACGAGUACAUGUAAACAGUUCCACCCUGACAACAUUGUUCCUAAAUGUAGUCAUUUUUAGAAGUUACACCACUAAAAAUUAAGAAGCAUUCAAACCUAAUUUACUGAGGACAAAGUUCAAGGUUGAAAAGGCCACUUUAUUUUACUGCAGAUAACACAAACAAGAGAAUGAAUUUCUGUUCUACUUACCAGCCCCUUAAGUCUGAUAGAGAGUGGUCGAUUAUCCAACGCAUCCAUCACUUUUGAUGAUAUACUCUAAAAAAAGGUAUAUAGCAUUUCAUCAUCAAAUAGUGCUACCAGCAGCCAAAACCUAUCUUAUUCAAAGACAAUAUACCUUCAAAACCUCAGUAGCUGCAUCAAUUCGCUCCUUAUUCCAGAGCUUCAACAUAAGCACAGUUAAGUGAAAUGCUGUAGGUUUGAUAAAUAUAGAUUUGUCUAUUCCCAAGUCUGUAAAGUGCAACAUAAAUCAGUAAGAUUUUAUCAAAGUAAAGAGAGAAUGUAAAAUAGGAAGAAAAUAAAUGGAUUGAUUCUCAAACAAAAGCACAAAACAGAAGCAAAUUAGUUAGCUUCAGUAAGUUUGGCGAGUAGUAACAAAAUUUUCCCCAAAAUAAGCAAGAAAAAGCAAAAUAGGAACCAGGAUUUCACUGGUAAAAAUGGAUGGAUUGAGACAAAUAUUAUACUUCUGUGAAACUAUAUCCUGCUAUCAGGCAUCCAUAAUCUCUUCAUUUAAAAUUGGUAAUUUUUUUAAAUCCUACCAGAUAAAGUAGAUGGCUUUGAUGCUUUAGGUGCGUAACUAACAAGAGGCACGCUAGUUAGAUCCACUUUAACAUUUUUGUCAUCUUCAACUUUAAGUUCAACUGCAACAUCAGAUCCUCUACUGAACUCUUGGUCCUUAUCUUCAUUAUCAGAAGUACCUUCAUUGGGAUCACUCUCCACGGUCUCAUCCAGGAAAGCAUCACUAAUUUCCAAUAUCGAGUUCUGAAAAUUCACUAACUUAUCAACCAAUUCUGGGUGAAUAGCUAGUGGAAGAGAUAUGAAGUGGGAAUAAUUGAGACCUGGGCUGUUAACUGCCUGUGUUUCAAACCCCAAGAAAGACAGCAAAAAAAAAGAAGGUUAGUACCAUGUCUAGAAAAGGAUAAAUGAUCAAGUGUAUAUUUGACAUCCGCUAUGAACAAGUAAACAACUAUUCCCUAACAUGUAUCAAAUCACUUUUAUUAAUUGGAGUCGUUUGUACAGAAUAUUUUAGAUAGAACACAAGGAAAAAAAGCAACUUAUGAAAGAUUGCUAACUUAACAAAAAGAACACCCAUGUUUGCUCACAGCUCUACCACUUGAUGUUAAAAGUCAGUUCCAUUGCCAUCAUGAAACCUUUCUGCGUAUAAUUUUCCUCUUGAUGGUAAUGAAUGCAUUUUUUGGGUUACUUCAUCUAACCUUAGAUAAAUUCACCAUUCCACAGAGAUGACACAAGUCAUGAACUAAUAGAAUUCAUAAAAAAUGCCACACAACAAAACUAGCUCCCAAAAAUAUAUAAGAUGACAAUGAAAUAACAUACACAAAUGAGCAAACCUCAUCUAUAAUAGCUUGUAUCUUUUCUGAAGCACUAGUUACACUAUCAAUUGAACUUCCUUCAAUGACUGCAAUAGUUAACCACAUAAGAGUCAGAAAAAAGGGCUAAUCAACAUUGUAGCAAAUCAAUUUAAACACAAAAGAUAAUGAAAAUGUUGAAAUUAGAGUUGUCUUAACUUAUUAGGAUUGGUCAUGUUGAAAUUAGAAAUCAAAGUAACCAUGAGCAUUCAAUAUGAUAAUUUGAUGACAAUUACAUAGUGAGAUGCAAAUUCACAAAAAUCCUUUAAACUUACUAAUAGAUUCCUCCUCCUUUGAUGAUGGAAUGAAAAUCUUAACUCCCAUCUCCUCUUCAAUUUUUUGCUGUGUAGAUCCCCCUUCUCCUUUGAUAAACCGAAUUAAAGAGGCACCUACCUACAAAUCAAGCAGAGUAAAUCAGCCCAAAGACUUAAAAGAGAUUUAAGAAUUGAAAAAACAAAAAGAAAAGGAACAAAAAGAAUCGAGGGAAAGCCACAAGUGAAGAGGACUUUUAAAUGACAUUGCAUUAGAAAGGUUGAGAUAUUUUUGGUGUCUUACCGUAUUUAUUUAGGAAAUAAUGCAUAAAAUUAGUUCUGAAGAAAGCAAUGCGCAACAAUAGAAAUCAUGAGUAAUAAAAUCUCAUAGAUAAGAUAAUCCUGUAGAAGAAAUCAUAACAAAACAUUACAUAAACUGGACAGGAAAUCAGGGUAUCAGAAAUGCACAUGAAAAAUGCCACAGUGGUGCAACAUGACAAAGGCCUAACCACUAAAACACAUGCAGAGCCAUGGCAAGGCAUUUCCCUUUAGUAGUACAAGAAAAGCAACAUAUAUAAUGCAAUCUGAUACCAACACAGUAACACAACUCAUUUUGGUUGUCAGCUUUCAUUUCCACUAAGGAAGCAACAUCUCAAAUAAU